This 466-nucleotide ribosomal RNA is filed under the name uncultured bacterium. Its description in RNAcentral is "partial 16S ribosomal RNA". It matches the Rfam family "Bacterial small subunit ribosomal RNA", at positions 28 to 507 of the family's 1533-position model. The record is from RNAcentral.
GAUGAACGCUGGCGGCGUGCUUAACACAUGCAAGUCGAACGAUGAAGCCCAGCUUGCUGGGUGGAUUAGUGGCGAACGGGUGAGUAACACGUGAGUAACCUGCCCUUGACUCUGGGAUAAGCCCGGGAAACUGGGUCUAAUACCGGAUAGGAGCGCCUGUCGCAUGACGGGUGUUGGAAAGAUUUUUCGGUCAUGGAUGGACUCGCGGCCUAUCAGCUUGUUGGUGAGGUAAUGGCUCACCAAGGCGACGACGGGUAGCCGGCCUGAGAGGGUGACCGGCCACACUGGGACUGAGACACGGCCCAGACUCCUACGGGAGGCAGCAGUGGGGAAUAUUGCACAAUGGGCGGAAGCCUGAUGCAGCGACGCCGCGUGAGGGAUGACGGCCUUCGGGUUGUAAACCUCUUUCAGUAGGGAAGAAGCGAAAGUGACGGUACCUGCAGAAGAAGCACCGGCUAACUACGUG